CAGCAGCCACGGUAAUACGUAGGUGGCAAGCGUUGUCCGGAAUUAUUGGGCGUAAAGGGCUCGCAGGCGGUUUCUUAAGUCUAAUGUGAAAGCCCCCGGCUCAACCGGGGAGGGUCAUUGGAAACUGGGAAACUUGAGUGCAGAAGAAGAGAGUGGAAUUCCACGUGUAGCGGUGAAAUGCGUAGAGAUGUGGAGGAACACCAGUGGCGAAGGCGACUCUCUGGUCUGUAACUGACGCUGAGGAGCGAAAGCGUGGGGAGCGAACAGGAUUAGAUACCCCAGUAGUCCUUGUCUCUUAUAC
Molecule: ribosomal RNA, 301 nt
Filed under: uncultured bacterium
Lineage: Bacteria
Description: partial 16S ribosomal RNA
Rfam family: Bacterial small subunit ribosomal RNA
Source: RNAcentral